GUGGAAGGAGCUGGAUGCUCUACAUGGUGAUCAUGGACACCUGAGCGAUUGGAUGAACAGGUGACACAACGGUGGCCACAGAAGCACCGAUGAUUUAGAGAAGCUAUUGAGGAAACUGUCUCUUGUCUUUGAGAUGAUCUAUGCAUAUUUGCUGCCGGUGGGACAUACCACAGUGUCAGUAAUGAAGGCUGAACAGUUUGAACUUGCUGUGAGACCUCUGUUUGGGGGAGUAACCCUGGUGUUUCAGUGGGUACUGCUUUGAACUACAUCUACCAAAACCUGAUGUCAGGUGCCCUUGAAUGAAGUAUCUGGUGCUUGUCAGGAUGGAAUGAGGUGUUGACGGUGCCAGUAGAGAUGGAUAAACUUAAUUCAGGGUGAAUCAGUCCUGGUUUUGCCACACAGGGGUCCUUGAACCAGGAAUGCUGCUGACACUGUGUGUUCCCAGGACUAGGAGUGAAACAAAGGAGGUCAGUUAUGUUCCUGAUGAAGCUAGGUGGCCGGAAGAACAUGUCCUUAGGGAGGCAAGACUAUUUCUUCCACAUGUAAACUCAUUUUUUUGACCAAGGACCAGAAGCAGCAGCAGAGCCUGCAAGGAUAACGUGACCAUAAGUUCAUGGUUCUUCUGUGACUGAGCUGCCCACCUGGAAGGUUAUUCAAGCAAAAGAAGACCCAACCACUGUGACCACCUCCACAGAGCCAAGGAAACAGGGACCGUUCAAUGAGGGAAAACACUUUACUGAAGAGGCAAAGCAUCUUCAUUGCUCUAGAAGUAUUCCUUAAAUAAACAUUCAUAGAAAAGAUGCCUUUUCAUCCUGUGUGCAUGUGGGAGAGCGUGAAUGCCUCUUGGUCCUCCAUGUCUUAGGCUGGCCACAUGCUCUGUCCCUGGGCUGGACACCUCUUUACAAGGGAUUAAAGGGAAGUGUCGGACCCGGGGAUCUCCAGGAAACCAAGGAGUAAUCUCCAAAGCACUGGGAGACCUAAAGAAAGCAAACCCUCCCCGACAUGGCAAACGCAUCUGAACUUCUCAGUUACAAGUAAAGGUGUUCUGGUCCACUCAUUUGCUUGCAGCAUUCACCCUCUCCCCAGGACUCUGCAGACAAAAUGAAAAUGAGCAGAAAAAUAGAAGAAUUGAGUAUCUUUUAAAAAUUGUUAGCUAGAUGUUCAGCCUCUCAGUUUGCUUAGAGCAAUUAUGGAUGGAUUAGCUGAAUGGAUGGUGUUGCAUUUUGCUUUUUAAUCUGUGGAGGAAAGGGUAGAGCCCAGGCAGCCGCUGUGAUGGUGCAGAGCUGAAGCCCUCUCAUUGUGCUGCAGCGCAGGAGCUGCCCCUGUGCAUGCGCUCAGCCCCAUCCUGAUACAGCCAGGAUCAGCUCUGCUCAACCUAUACACGUAGCUCAGUCCUCGUUAUUGCUUCUACAAGCCUCCCUGUUAUUCUGUGUCUCUGAGCUGCUCGGUGGCUAGCAGAGGGCUGUGCCUGAGGCUCAGGGCCAAGAGGUUCCAGCAAAGCUCCGCCUGCUUCAGCACAUCUGCUCUCUUUUCUCCUCUCUCUGAGCCCUAUUUACGCUUCGUUUUAGCCUGAAUAUGUGCAUCCUGGUUG
Athene cunicularia (burrowing owl) is the source of this 1591-nucleotide long non-coding RNA. RefSeq lists it as uncharacterized. NCBI's taxonomy places the organism in Eukaryota, Metazoa, Chordata, Aves, Strigiformes, Strigidae. The record is from RefSeq and is a predicted model, not a curated record. The transcript has 4 exons.